AACGACGAAGCUCAGUGGGAGAGCGCAGGCUUUUGCCUUAAGGUUGCUGGUUCGACUCCAGCCGUUGCCA
This 70-nucleotide transfer RNA is filed under the name Phytophthora megakarya. It matches the Rfam family "tRNA". From Rfam's summary of the family: Transfer RNA (tRNA) molecules are approximately 80 nucleotides in length. Their secondary structure includes four short double-helical elements and three loops (D, anti-codon, and T loops). Lineage: Eukaryota; Oomycota; Peronosporomycetes; Peronosporales; Peronosporaceae. The record is from Rfam by way of RNAcentral.